Molecule: ribosomal RNA, 303 nt
Filed under: uncultured bacterium
Lineage: Bacteria
Description: partial 16S ribosomal RNA
Rfam family: Bacterial small subunit ribosomal RNA
Source: RNAcentral
AGCAGCCGCCAGGGAAUACAGAGGGUGCGAGCGUUAAUCGGAUUUACUGGGCGUAAAGCGUGCGUAGGCGGCUUUUUAAGUCGGAUGUGAAAUCCCUGAGCUUAACUUAGGAAUUGCAUUCGAUACUGGGAAGCUAGAGUAUGGGAGAGGAUGGUAGAAUUCCAGGUGUAGCGGUGAAAUGCGUAGAGAUCUGGAGGAAUACCGAUGGCGAAGGCAGCCAUCUGGCCUAAUACUGACGCUGAGGUACGAAAGCAUGGGGAGCAAACAGGAUUAGAUACCCGAGUAGUCCCUGUCUCUUAUACA